This 488-nucleotide ribosomal RNA is filed under the name Pseudomonas sp. SBRD7. RNAcentral describes it as "bacterial SSU rRNA". It matches the Rfam family "Bacterial small subunit ribosomal RNA", at positions 89 to 573 of the family's 1533-position model. The record is from RNAcentral. Lineage: Bacteria; Pseudomonadati; Pseudomonadota; Gammaproteobacteria; Pseudomonadales; Pseudomonadaceae.
GAUUCAGCGGCGGACGGGUGAGUAACACCUGGGAAUCUGCCUGGUAGUGGGGGAUAACGUCCGGAAACGGGCGCUAAUACCGCGUACGUCCUACGGGAGAAAGCAGGGGAUCUUCGGACCUUGCGCUAUCAGAUGAGCCCAGGUCGGAUUAGCUAGUAGGUGAGGUAAUGGCUCACCUAGGCGACGAUCCGUAACUGGUCUGAGAGGAUGAUCAGUCACACUGGAACUGAGACACGGUCCAGACUCCUACGGGAGGCAGCAGUGGGGAAUAUUGGACAAUGGGGGCAACCCUGAUCCAGCCAUGCCGCGUGUGUGAAGAAGGUCUUCGGAUUGUAAAGCACUUUAAGUUGGGAGGAAGGGCUUUAGGUUAAUACCCUGAAGUUUUGACGUUACCAACAGAAUAAGCACCGGCUAACUCUGUGCCAGCAGCCGCGGUAAUACAGAGGGUGCAAGCGUUAAUCGGAAUUACUGGGCGUAAAGCGCGCGUA